Molecule: non-coding RNA, 30 nt
Filed under: Homo sapiens (human)
Lineage: Eukaryota; Metazoa; Chordata; Mammalia; Primates; Hominidae
Source: RNAcentral
UCCCAAUCUACAAAGUUCAAAAGUGAGGGC